Bombus terrestris (buff-tailed bumblebee) is the source of this 1378-nucleotide long non-coding RNA. RefSeq lists it as uncharacterized. The transcript is spliced from 4 exons. The record is from RefSeq and is a predicted model, not a curated record. Lineage: Eukaryota; Metazoa; Arthropoda; Insecta; Hymenoptera; Apidae.
CACAUCAUAUUAUGCUGAUAUAUAAUAAUAAAAUUAAUUAUGAUACCGACUUUAAAAAAUAGGGAUUUAGAAAAUUUGAGAAAGAGAAGCAAUUAAAGAUAUUUGUUGAUAUCACCUGCUGUCGACAGUCUGAUAUUCUCAACAAUGGAAAAUUUGCGAAAAUAAAUCGGCUACUCAGUUUGGUCGGCUGGACGUAAAAAUUUGACAGCUCCAAAUUUUGCUGAUGGCGACGAAAGCAACUCAAGCAACGAUAAAUAGACAACUCUGAUAAUUUGAACACCAAGAUGCUAGGAAUUUUUCGGACGUAAAACUAGUUAGUUCCGGUCCUGUCCGUUUCCUCUGCCGAUUUACACUUCUUUUUAUGUCAUAGAACAAUUUGUCGAGAUCUAGAACUGGUUUGUCUUUGCAACGAGCCCUUCAAUCGCCACGGUACGUAAUACUCGAUGAAGCCGAAAGUAUUUUACGAGAAUACAGGAGGCAAUUCGUUAGGCGAAUAUUUUACAAGUUGGCACAAGGUAAUUCGUUAUGCGAGAAAAAAUAAAAAUUGUGAAAUAAAGUUUCUCAUACGAGGCUUAGUUUUGCAAAAGAGUCGAAAUUAUAUCUCGUACGAAUUUACACAGCUAACAAUAAGAUACGAUAUAUGUACAUAUAAGAAUAAGAUUCGCGGAACGAUGAUGCUAUAUGUAACGUCUAUUGUCUUUCUAUUUUAUCGAUCGAGAAAAGUACAAACGAGAGAUUUUACCAACGAUACCGUAUAUUUUAUGAACGAAACGCUUAUUUCAGCUACGUGUAUGCUGUUUCAGAGAUCCAUCGUUCCACUCUUUUCGCAUCUGAGAGCAUUCCCUUGUAUUAUCGAGGCAAUUACUCUCUUGAAGUGGUUGAACGUUUCUGAAAAUUAUUUUGUCGAUACGAGCCUAAACGUAACAGCCCCAUCAGCAAUUCUACGCAUCCAGCAAGAAAACAAAAGAGCACGAUAAAAUCCACUGGCAUGUUUUUGGUAUAUUCGAAGGUUCCCAUCGGAAUUAUAACAACACGUAACUAAGAAAAAGGUAACAAAAGCGAGAAAUCAAAAUCGAACGAUUCGAGCGAGUGAAAGCUGAGUAUCGAUAAUAUGAAAACCUUAUAGAUCUUUUGCUUCUAAGAAUCUGAAGAUUGGAAUCACGACAGCCAUAGAAAAGUGCGAGAGAAGUGUUCGAAUACUUCGGUAUUGAUGAACGAAUCAUCGUCGGUGGAACGAACAAGAUAACAUAAAUAAUAGUAAAUAUUAGUAAACAACAAUAUAUUCAAGCAAUGGCGCGAUAUGAUAAUUCGAUAGGGGUGAGAACGAAGAAAAUUUCUCGAUCGACCAAGUAAGGAGUAAAGAGUAAAGAUAUACCUG